AUUGGACGCUGGCGGCAGGCCUAACACAUGCAAGUCGAGUGGAUGAAGGGAGCUUGCUCCUGGAUUCAGCGGCGGACGGGUGAGUAAUGCCUAGGAAUCUGCCUGGUAGUGGGGGAUAACGUCCGGAAACGGGCGCUAAUACCGCAUACGUCCUGAGGGAGAAAGUGGGGGAUCUUCGGACCUCCCGCUAUCAGAUGAGCCUAGGUCGGAUUAGCUAGUUGGUGGGGUAAAGGCCUACCAAGGCGACGAUCCGUAACUGGUCUGAGAGGAUGAUCAGUCACACUGGAACUGAGACACGGUCCAGACUCCUACGGGAGGCAGCAGUGGGGAAUAUUGGACAAUGGGCGAAAGCCUGAUCCAGCCAUGCCGCGUGUGUGAAGAAGGUCUUCGGAUUGUAAAGCACUUUAAGUUGGGAGGAAGGGCAGUAAGUUAAUACCUUGCUGUUUUGACGUUACCAACAGAAUAAGCACCGGCUAACUUCGUG
This 484-nucleotide ribosomal RNA is filed under the name uncultured bacterium. RNAcentral's name for it is "partial 16S ribosomal RNA". It matches the Rfam family "Bacterial small subunit ribosomal RNA", at positions 30 to 507 of the family's 1533-position model. The record is from RNAcentral.